AUCUCCGUGGACACCACGAGCGCGUACUUGCACCUGCUGUCGCACUGCAGGAUGUUCUCCGCCAGCCCGAUGCCGGCUAUCCCGGCGCUGCACCCCAUCCCGGAAAGGCUGAAGCACCGGACAUCGCUGCGGAACCCGUACCUGCGCACUACCAUGUCAGCCAUGGACGGCGUUGGGGCGAACAGCGUGCAGUUCACCACCACCACUCCGAUGUCCUCGGCGCGGACGCCGGUCUUGGCGAGAACGGCAUCGACGGCGGAGAAUAUCCCUUGCUCGGCCUCGGCGCGGGCCGCCUUGAGGGUCUUCUCCGGAGGGAUGACGUGGCAGGCCGGCGGGAGGCAUGUCUCCUCACCGAAGCCCGAGCGCUCGAUGAGGCGCGACUGGAAGCCGACGCUCUUGUCGUCAAAGCACGGCGCGAGCCCGGUGUGCUCGAUGUACUUGGAGAGCGGCACGCGGAGGGCGGCCGGCGGCCGGAAGCAUGCGUAG
Molecule: ribosomal RNA, 486 nt
Filed under: Triticum aestivum (bread wheat)
Lineage: Eukaryota; Viridiplantae; Streptophyta; Magnoliopsida; Poales; Poaceae
Description: partial small subunit ribosomal RNA
Source: RNAcentral